Camellia sinensis is the source of this 912-nucleotide non-coding RNA. The record is from RefSeq and is a predicted model, not a curated record. Lineage: Eukaryota; Viridiplantae; Streptophyta; Magnoliopsida; Ericales; Theaceae.
GAUAUGGUUGCUUCACAUACUUCAUAGGUUGAUUGAUGCUUUGCUGACUGUUGGGGAAAGCUCUUCUUUUAAUUUGAUUGACCAGCUAAUUUUUGAUAAGUUGUACAUAGAUACGCAUUAUGAGUUUCAGUCAUUGGAUUUGAUUCACUGCUGGAUAGAUGGAAUAUUUAAGUUGUGUCAAAUUUCAACCAAUAGGUUGUUACUUCAGAACUUGAGUAAAAUGUUGGAUUUGUCUGGAAAUGUUGACAUAUUAUUCUUGAGAAUUUUAGCACAUGUUAUCAGUACACACUUUAACCUUACUAGAAGUCUGAAACAACUCUAGGAUGCAAAUUUCCAAGAUGAUAAGUUAGCUUAUUUUUGUAUUUGACACAUUCACAUUCAAUAAAAUUUCUCUACAUUUUAUCUUGAUUUCUCAGGAGCUAGAUUCAUCCUUUUCCAAUAAUUUUUGGACUUUGCUGAUAAAUAAAAAACAAAAAUAUUUUGUUUUUUUUUAUUUACUAAUUUCUUUUAACAUACAAAUUACCGUUUUCUAUAGCCAUCACUGUUCGAGAUAAACUCGAGUCAUUGUGCCGGGAGUUACAACGUCAGAACAAAAUGCUAAUGAUGAUCAGAUUAUGUCAACCAUUUGGGAUAAAUAAAUAAUGUUUGCGGAGUUAUGGUAACUCCUCCCUUCCUCCAAAAAGAAAGCCUGUCAAAAAAGAAACCACCAAAAAGUUUUUUUUUCCCAUGCAAAUUUAAAUGAAUUUUUCCACCAAGUGGUGUUGGGAUAUAGCUAGUGGAGAACACUGACUGCCAGAGAAGGAUGAAUGCAAGCGGGUAUCAACGGAGGGGCAAAACUUGAGAUUAGAUCUAUCAAGCAAGUUCCGCGACGCAAUUAAGGUGUCCAUGAUUUUCCUUUUUUCUUUGAGAAUC